RNAcentral lists this ribosomal RNA (265 nucleotides) under uncultured prokaryote. RNAcentral's name for it is "partial 16S ribosomal RNA". It matches the Rfam family "Bacterial small subunit ribosomal RNA", at positions 524 to 788 of the family's 1533-position model. The record is from RNAcentral.
UACGUAGGGUGCGAGCGUUGUCCGGAUUUAUUGGGUUUAAAGGGUGCGUAGGUGGAUUGGUAAGUCAGUGGUGAAAGUUUGCAGCUUAACUGUAAAAUUGCCGUUGAAACUGCCGGUCUUGAGUGCAAAUGAGGUAGGCGGAAUGUGCCGUGUAGCGGUGAAAUGCAUAGAUAUUACACAGAACACCGAUUGCGAAGGCAUCUCACAAAGCCGUUAUUGACGCUGAGGCACGAAAGUGUGGGGAUCAAACAGGAUUAGAUACCCU